GUAGUGGUGGUUCAGUGGGAGAAUUCUUGCCUUCCAUGUGGGAGACGUGGGUUUGAUUCCCAGCCGGUGUA
This 71-nucleotide transfer RNA is filed under the name Loxodonta africana (African savanna elephant). It matches the Rfam family "tRNA". Rfam says of the family: Transfer RNA (tRNA) molecules are approximately 80 nucleotides in length. Their secondary structure includes four short double-helical elements and three loops (D, anti-codon, and T loops). Further hydrogen bonds mediate the characteristic L-shaped molecular structure. tRNAs have two regions of fundamental functional importance: the anti-codon, which is responsible for specific mRNA codon recognition, and the 3' end, to which the tRNAs corresponding amino acid is attached (by aminoacyl-tRNA synthetases). tRNAs cope with the degeneracy of the genetic code in two manners: having more than one tRNA (with a specific anti-codon) for a particular amino acid; and 'wobble' base-pairing, i.e. permitting non-standard base-pairing at the 3rd anti-codon position. Lineage: Eukaryota; Metazoa; Chordata; Mammalia; Proboscidea; Elephantidae. The record is from Rfam by way of RNAcentral.